UAGUAUCGAUCGAUGUAGAUACAGUUACAUCGAUCGAUGGCAGAGUAGUUUCUGCAGAACUUGUGUUCUUGAGAUGAUUGCUCUUCAUGGAUUUUUUUGUUGAUGUAGAAGGAAGAGUGUUCAUCUUAUUUGCUUGUGUGUUUGCUCUAAUGUGUGUAAGUGGUUUCGGGGGUGCAAAACGAUUUAUAUAGGUAUCCAGAAACCUAGUUAGGGAGGGAAUAUUCU
Molecule: long non-coding RNA, 225 nt
Filed under: Brassica rapa (field mustard)
Lineage: Eukaryota; Viridiplantae; Streptophyta; Magnoliopsida; Brassicales; Brassicaceae
Description: long non-coding RNA (BRAP_LNC006798)
Source: RNAcentral